CUAUGCUCAUUACUGGGAGGAAGCCUUAAAAGAGAGGGCUGUUAGUGAGGUAUCCUGAUGUUUAGUUAGAGCCGGACAGGCUUAGAGUUUGUUUUGUUUGCAAGGUGCUCUGUGCCUACAUCAUUUAAAUAAACACUCUUGAGUUUUGAAA
Long non-coding RNA from Spea bombifrons (plains spadefoot toad), 151 nucleotides. RefSeq lists it as uncharacterized. Lineage: Eukaryota; Metazoa; Chordata; Amphibia; Anura; Pelobatidae. The record is from RefSeq and is a predicted model, not a curated record. The transcript has 2 exons.